ACUCGCGCCUGCCAGGCGGAGCCGCUGGUUGGUGGAGGCUCGCGGGGCGCGCUCCCGAACGCCCCCGCGGCCGGAAGUGCGCGCCCCGGGGGGAGGCGGGAAGGCGGCCGCGGCUUUAUUAAAGGCCCAGCGGCGGUGUCCGCGGAGGGCGUGACCUUGGUUCCUCUCAGGUGGGGCGUGGUUCUGCAAAUCCCGAACUCGAUAAAGCGGGGUAGGUUCAAGACCUUUAAGACGUAUUUGUUGGUAUUCCUUUCCUGGAGUCAUGGCUUCGGGGACUCCUCCAGGAGGUUAAAAUCACCUCCAGGAGGUACAGACUUAGCAAACUUGUGUUAGGAGGCUGGCGCCACGUUAAGUGAUUUUUGGAGGCGGACGCCGCUUGACAGCGGUCGGGCGGAGGGAAGUGGCCCAAGCCAACGCGCAAAAACAAAGCAGAACAAAACCGAACGAAGUGUGUAUUUUUCAGUGGCUGUCCUGGAAAGUGAAGUAAGGCACCGCAUUCUUCGAAGCUGUUCUGAUUAAAAAUUCAUUGAUGAAGUUGUUGAGGAGAUGUGCCGCUCACCUAAAAUAGCUCACCCUAGAGCCCAAGCCUGGAGCACAGCUCUUUGCUUUUCCAACCGAAGCCUAAAAUUAUUUGGCUCUUAAAAUGAUGUGGGUAGCGCACAGUUCCCUUGUUACUCCGCGCGAUGAUCGGAAGUGAGAUUCCAAGACCUUCCUCGCAGCAGAAGUUGUAACCACGCAAAGUGAGGGAGCUGAGAGCAGCGUGUUUACUAUGGCUUGUAUUUUAGUGGUUGAGAAAGAGUAAAACAAUGUGAGGAAGAAAACCGUGCAUAAGUGUUUUGAGGGGAGAAGCUACAUGAUCUUUUAGAAAAAGUGCAAGGAAGAUAAUUGUACUCUAACUGAGAGAGAAGGGGACAGCGGAUCGGAAGCAGAAUCCCUGCUGACAGCAGAGAACCUGAUGCAGGGCUCAAACCCACAGACUGAGAUCAUGACCUGAGCUGAAGUCGGAUGCUUAACCUACUGAGCCACCUAGGUGCCCUGGCAACUACUUAGUUAAUAUGUACAGAAAUGUUAACAAGUUAGGGUGUUAAACAAUAGCUUUUCAGUGUGAUCUUUCCAUUCCUUCUUUGAAAUUGAUAACCUAUCUGUCUCAAAGAUCAGAUCACACCUAUCUGAUACGAAGGAGCUUAAUUUUAUUGAAAAGGUUUUGACGGUGUCCUGCCCACAAAAGUGCAGCUUAGCUAAUACAGGUUCUUUCCUUCGUGGUCCUCACCACAGGCUCCGUGUUUUUCUAAAUCGUGGAAUAGAUCAUCUAUACAAAAGGUGGCGUAAAACACAUGCGGUUAAAAGAAUGAUAAUAAGCUGUCCAGCACCCAGUUUCAUGUAUAGAAUAUCGUUUGGACCAGAACAUGUCAAGGUCCCUACAUGCCUGUCCCGCUGACACCUUUCUCCCUUUCCUCCCUCUACGCCAGGUAAUUGCUGUUUUGAAUUUUGAAUUGACCAUCUCUUUGCUUUACUUUGUAAUUUUCCCAUCUGUGUUUGUGUUCUUAAAUAACAUUUUUAAUUUUUGCUGGCCUUUUAACACUUAAGUGAGCCCUAAUUGACAUAAAAUAAAAUGCAUAUAUUUCAAA
Long non-coding RNA from Prionailurus viverrinus (fishing cat), 1628 nucleotides. RefSeq lists it as uncharacterized. The transcript is spliced from 2 exons. The record is from RefSeq and is a predicted model, not a curated record. Lineage: Eukaryota; Metazoa; Chordata; Mammalia; Carnivora; Felidae.